Molecule: ribosomal RNA, 1348 nt
Filed under: Inquisitor sp. MNHN IM 2013-18505
Lineage: Eukaryota; Metazoa; Mollusca; Gastropoda; Neogastropoda; Pseudomelatomidae
Description: 16S ribosomal RNA
Rfam family: Bacterial large subunit ribosomal RNA
Source: RNAcentral
AUAUAAAAUUAUUAGAUAAUAUUAAAAUUUAUUUUGCUUAAAACAUUAUUAGAUUGAGUAAAGGCGAUUAAAAAUUAUUUCAUUUAUCUAAUUAAAGUACCGUCGGGGAAUAUAUAUAAAUUAAGAAAAAGAAAAAAUUAAAUUUUGUACCUUUUGCAUCAUGGUUUAGCUAGAUUUAAAUUAGAUAUUUAAUUUCUCGAAAUUUAAUGAGCUAUUUUUAGUCUAUAUAUUAGUAUAAAAGGAAUAAUUGUAGCAAAAAUUUUCCUAGAACUAAAAAUAGAAAUGAAAUUUUAUUCGCAUUAAAUGAUAGCUAGUUCUCCUAAAAAAGUAUAAAAGUACCCUGAAUUAGAAUUUAUCCUGUAAACUUUAUACNGNAUAAAAUUUAAUUUAAAUAAAUUUCUGAGGAUNAGCNCNNAAAUAUAAUUAAAUAACACAUAUAAAUUAAUAUUAAAUUUGAGCUUGAAAAUAGCUAAAAUCAAGAUUUUGUUACAAUAUCAUUAUCUUACUAAAAACAUAAUUGAUUUGUGUAUUUNAAAAGGAGAGACUUCAAAAAUUUAUAUAUGAAUUAUACUUAUGCUAAAAUGAGUAUUUAUACAUUUUAUCUNUNCUAGAAAUCUAAAGACUAGAAAUUUAUUUUUAAUGUACCUUAAAAACUAUAGAAAGGANUUCGGCAAAAUGAAAUGUUCUGCCUGUUUAUUAAAAACAUGGCUCCUUGUAAUUAAAAAAUAGGGAGUCGGACCUGCCCGGUGAAACUUUUUAACGGCCGCGGUACUCUGACCGUGCAAAGGUAGCAUAAUAAUUUGCCUUAUAAUUGAAGGCUAGUAUGAAUGGUUUGACAAGAACAUUACUGUCUCUUUAUAGUUUGUUAGAACUUUAUUUUAAGGUGAAGAAGCCUUAAUGUAAUUGAUAGACAAGAAGACCCUAUCGAGCUUUAAAAAAUUUAGAAGGUUUAGCUUAAUAGUAUUAAAAAAUAAACUUUUAAAAAUUUUGGUUGGGGCGACUGAGGAACAAUAAUAGCUUCCUUUUAUACCUUUUAACAUACGGGUUUUGAUCCUGAAGUUUUGAUUGAAGAAAUUAGUUACCGUAGGGAUAACAGCAUUAUCUUUUUUAAGAGCCCUUAUCGAAAAAAAGGUUUGUGACCUCGAUGUUGGACCAGAAUAUCCUAAAGGUGUAGAAGCCUUUAAGGGUUGGUCUGUUCGACCAUUAAAAUUCUACGUGAUCUGAGUUUAGACCGGCGUGAGCCAGGUCAGUUUCUAUCUUCAAUUCUUAGAAUAGCCUUAGUACGAAAGGACCAGCUUAUUAUAAAAGAAUAUUAAAAAAGAAAAAAUAUAAUAAAAAAUUUAGUUGC